UGGGGAAUAUUGCACAAUGGGCGCAAGCCUGAUGCAGCCAUGCCGCGUGUAUGAAGAAGGCCUUCGGGUUGUAAAGUACUUUCAGCGAGGAGGAAGGCGUUGUGGUUAAUAACCGCAGCGAUUGACGUUACUCGCAGAAGAAGCACCGGCUAACUCCGUGCCAGCAGCCGCGGUAAUACGGAGGAUGCAAGCGUUAAUCGGAAUUACUGGGCGUAAAGCGCACGCAGGCGGUCUGUCAAGUCGGAUGUGAAAUCCCCGGGCUCAACCUGGGAACUGCAUCCGAAACUGGCAGGCUAGAGUCUUGUAGAGGGGGGUAGAAUUCCAGGUGUAGCGGUGAAAUGCGUAGAGAUCUGGAGGAAUACCGGUGGCGAAGGCGGCCCCCUGGACAAAGACUGACGCUCAGGUGCGAAAGCGUGGGGAGCAAACA
RNAcentral lists this ribosomal RNA (427 nucleotides) under uncultured bacterium. RNAcentral's name for it is "partial 16S ribosomal RNA". It matches the Rfam family "Bacterial small subunit ribosomal RNA", at positions 355 to 774 of the family's 1533-position model. The record is from RNAcentral.